Molecule: ribosomal RNA, 315 nt
Filed under: Triticum aestivum (bread wheat)
Lineage: Eukaryota; Viridiplantae; Streptophyta; Magnoliopsida; Poales; Poaceae
Description: partial small subunit ribosomal RNA
Source: RNAcentral
AUGGGGGAUGAGCAAGGAGAAGCCCAGGAAGCAUUGUGGCUGCAACACUUGCUUGCAGCAGCGGAUAAAUAUGAUCUCCAAAGACUCAAAGGACUAUGUGAAGAGGAGCUGUGCGAACACAUAGAUGUGAGCUCGGUGACGACUAUUCUUACUCUAGCCGAGCAGCAUAAUUGUCAUGGGUUGAAGGAGGUUUGCUUUGAAUUCAUCAAGACUCCCGCCAAUUUGAAGGAGAUAACGGCGGCUGACGGCUUGGAGGACAUAACUAGAACCUGUCCUUCUCUUCUGAAGGAGCUCAUUGCUAAGCUUGCUUCCUAA